This 465-nucleotide ribosomal RNA is filed under the name uncultured Klebsiella sp. Its description in RNAcentral is "bacterial SSU rRNA". It matches the Rfam family "Bacterial small subunit ribosomal RNA", at positions 338 to 795 of the family's 1533-position model. The record is from RNAcentral. Lineage: Bacteria; Pseudomonadati; Pseudomonadota; Gammaproteobacteria; Enterobacterales; Enterobacteriaceae.
CCUACGGGUGGCUGCAGUGGGGAAUAUUGCACAAUGGGCGCAAGCCUGAUGCAGCCAUGCCGCGUGUGUGAAGAAGGCCUUCGGGUUGUAAAGCACUUUCAGCGGGGAGGAAGGCGGUGAGGUUAAUAACCUCAUCGAUUGACGUUACCCGCAGAGGAAGCACCGGCUAACUCCGUGCCAGCAGCCGCGGUAAUACGGAGGGUGCAAGCGUUAAUCGGAAUUACUGGGCGUAAAGCGCACGCAGGCGGUCUGUCAAGUCGGAUGUGAAAUCCCUGGGCUCAACCUGGGAACUGCAUUCGAAACUGGCAGGCUAGAGUCUUGUAGAGGGGGGUAGAAUUCCAGGUGUAGCGGUGAAAUGCGUAGAGAUCUGGAGGAAUACCGGUGGCGAAGGCGGCCCCCUGGACAAAGACUGGCGCUCAGGUGCGAAAGCGUGGGGAGCAAACAGGAUUAGAUACCCUUGUAGUC